This 378-nucleotide unclassified non-coding RNA is filed under the name plant metagenome. Its description in RNAcentral is "partial contains 5.8S ribosomal RNA, internal transcribed spacer 2, and large subunit ribosomal RNA". The stretch from base 1 to 105 matches the Rfam family "5.8S ribosomal RNA", at positions 50 to 154 of the family's 154-position model. The record is from RNAcentral.
GAAAUGCGAUAAGUAAUGUGAAUUGCAGAAUUCAGUGAAUCAUCGAAUCUUUGAACGCACCUUGCGCUCCUUGGUAUUCCUUGGAGCAUGCCUGUUUGAGUAUCAUGAAAUCUUCAAAGUAAAUCUUUUGUUAACUCAAUUGGUUUCUACUUUGCUAUUGGAGGUCUUUGCAGCUUCACACCUGCUCCUCUUUGUUCAUUAGCUGGAUCUCAGUGUUAUGCUUGGUUCCACUCGGCGUGAUAAGUUAUCUAUCGCUGAGGACACUGUAAAAGGUGGCCAAGGUAAAUGCAGAUGAACCGCUUCUAAUAGUCCAUUGACUUGGACAAUACUUUUAUGAUCUGAUCUCAAAUCAGGUAGGACUACCCGCUGAACUUAAGC